AUGAAAGCGAACGGGCGCCGUCGUAAACAUUUAAUACCCUACCUCAAACAGGGCGACCGAAUUGCCACAGUUAUGGAAGAGAAACUAAACUUGGCGGGAGAAUUCUUCAGCAAGCUAAUGGGCACCCCGGAGCUGGCCAGUAAUAGGAGUUCCUUGCGGUGGGAGUCUCUGAAUCUGCACAACCUGUCGUCAGAGUUGGCGCAUGGUCUCGAAUCAGAUUUCACUGUGGAUGAGGUCAAAAAGGUGAUUAUGGACAUGCCCUCCGACAGGGCACUAGGUCCGGAUGGCUUCUCUGGACUGUUUUAUAAAAAGUGCCGGGAUAUCAUUGCUUCGGAUCUAAUGGCUGUGAUGAAGGCUCUGCAUGAGGGCUGUUUUUAUUCUUUUGGAGGUCUCAACACUUCAAUCCUCACACUCCUGCCCAAGAAAUCAAACUCUUUGGAGAUCGGCGACUUCAUACCGAUCAACCUCAUCCAUGGUGCGGCCAAGAUUUUCGCUAAAGUGCUUGCUUGCCGUCUGGAUCCGCUCCUGCCCACACUCAUCUCGCAGGCACAAAGUGCUUUCAUUUCCCGG
RNAcentral lists this ribosomal RNA (570 nucleotides) under Triticum aestivum (bread wheat). RNAcentral describes it as "partial small subunit ribosomal RNA". Lineage: Eukaryota; Viridiplantae; Streptophyta; Magnoliopsida; Poales; Poaceae. The record is from RNAcentral.